UCGCGUUCAUAUUGUUUAUAAGAAUAGUACUCCACGGCACUUAUAAGGAUUCUCCCCCCAUUCCAAUCGAUUCCCUCUCCCCAUUCUCAAUCCGGUGAGCGGCGAUGCGGCCGAGGGCAACACCCACCAGCGACGGAGCGGCAGUGCAACAUGCGGCAGAGGGGGAGGGCAGCGGCGCCGGGGCGGGUGGCCACCGGCGGCAGCGCGGGUGGGCAGCAUGCCGCAGAGGGCGAUGGCCGGCGGCGGCAGGAAGAUCUACAGGCGCGAUGCUACGGGCCGGUUAUGCCGGCCCGUAGACCUGGCGAGGACCACGAGAAGCGGUCGGAGCAUGCCCGGCUGCAACCCAGAGACAAGGAUGGCAAGUUCUGCAGCACUUCCCCCUCCUUGGGCGGAAGGGUGAAGCGCUCCGCUUGGGCUAAAGCGCGCCGCGCUUCCCCCUCCUCUGGCGGCGUGGGGAGGACGGGCGGUCGGAAGAGUGAGAGCGACGGCAACUCCGACGCGAUCGCGAUUCCAGUUGUCGUCCUCGAUGACUCGAACUCCGGCGAUGACGGUGACUCGGCGUCCGGCGAUGACCGCGACUCAGAUUUGGAAUUACAUCUGGUGCAGAUGGAAGCUCAGGCUGUGAGGAAGGAGUUCGAGUUCAAAAAAGAGGCUAAACAGAAGUACAAUUUAGCCAUUCAACAACGUGAUGAAGCACUGGCCCAGCGCGAUGAAGCCAGGAUGCAAUGCGGUGUACUUGAAUUUGAUGUGGAAUUCCUGCGUACUCGUCUUCGUAUGUCAGGUUAUAGAAUUCAGGAACUACAAGAGAAGCAAGGAAAAAAGUAGAUGCUGUUGGUCGAUGCACUUGUGCAUCCUUUUAGUUUGUAAAUAGGUUUACCUAUAUGUGGUAUGGUCAUUUUGCCUUGCAAUCGUGUUGGAUGUGGUAUUGUCCCUUUGCCUUGUAAAUGGCAACCUGUGCAUGCUAGUCAUAUAAUGAAAUGAACUAGCGUAUUCUGAAAAAACCUUGAAAUCUAUCUAUGUGGUAUUGUCCCUUUGCCUUGUAAAUGUGCAGUACUGAAGCCACAUCUUUCCAUGUUGGAGAAUAACAAUUACAUGCAGAUGAUCUUUUACCAUGCCUAUUUUUUUAUUCAUCAACUGAUUAUGUAUGAUUAAAAAUUACAGGUGAUUACCUCAAGCAGCACGGAAGAUAAGGUGAGGCUAACCUCGCACGAUUUCAGGUCCAAGCAGAAGAAGAAGGUAUCGACAACCCUUGGCAAAUCCUCCUCGGCGACCUCUAAGAAGAAGAAAAAGGAGGAGGUGACCUCUCAAGGAGAAAUUAGGAAAAUCUGGAAGUUGCAGAGCAAGAUAGAUGCAAAAGAAGUGAAGAUCAGUGGAUUUGUUGAUACCCUGGAAAAAGAAAAAGCAGCAAAGUUGUCACUUGAACGUCAACUUGCAGCAGCACAGAAGAAGGCAUCCGAGAAGUGGCGGAUUCCAGUCUACUGACCUGUCACCAAAAUGGUAGCACCACGAAGGAGCACCAACUGAUCCAUCACAGAAGAAGGCGUUGGUUUUGGUUUUGGUUUGCAUGAGAAGGGAUCUUCUGUGCGAUCAUGUCCCUGCUAGUCAAGUACUAUGUGUCCUGUAGGUGCUCAUCUCAAGUAGAAUUGUGUCCCUGCUAGUCAACUAGUAUUAUGUGAGCUGGUGUUGUAUGUGCUCAUCUCUAGGAGUAUUAUGUGUCAAGUACUAUGUGUUACUUAUGCUCUGUGAUAUAAAUGUACUAUGAUAUUAUGUUCUGUGAUAUAAAUGUGUUACUUA
Molecule: RNA transcript, 1794 nt
Organism: Panicum virgatum (switchgrass)
Lineage: Eukaryota; Viridiplantae; Streptophyta; Magnoliopsida; Poales; Poaceae
Exons: 4
Source: RefSeq, a predicted model, not a curated record